This 253-nucleotide ribosomal RNA is filed under the name uncultured bacterium. Its description in RNAcentral is "partial 16S ribosomal RNA". It matches the Rfam family "Bacterial small subunit ribosomal RNA", at positions 524 to 776 of the family's 1533-position model. The record is from RNAcentral.
UACGAAGGGUGCAAGCGUUACUCGGAAUUACUGGGCGUAAAGCGUGCGUAGGUGGUUUGUUAAGUCUGUUGUGAAAGCCCCGGGCUCAACCUGGGAAUGGCAAUGGAUACUGGCAGGCUAGAGUUCGGAAGAGGCGAGUGGAAUUCCUGGUGUAGCGGUGAAAUGCGCAGAUAUCAGGAGGAACACCGAUGGCGAAGGCAGCUCGCUGGGACGAUACUGACGCUGAGGCGCGAAAGCGUGGGGAGCAAACAGG